RNAcentral lists this unclassified non-coding RNA (229 nucleotides) under Hevea brasiliensis (rubber tree). Lineage: Eukaryota; Viridiplantae; Streptophyta; Magnoliopsida; Malpighiales; Euphorbiaceae. The record is from RNAcentral.
GUUUUAAGAAAAAAAAUUAAUAAUUAUUUAUUUUCAAGAGUUAAUGCAUACUUUUUUUCUAUUUCGGUUUAAAAAAAUAAAUAAUUUAUAUUUAAUCUGAAAAUUAAAAAUAAUAUUAUAUAAAGGAAUUAGCAAAAUCUCACUACCAAAAUUUUUCUUUUCUCAAGGAAAUGACACGCAAACUUUUUUGAAAAGUUUGUCACGAGUCACCUUUCAUAAAUACUCACAU